CCUACGGGGGGCAGCAGUGGGGAAUAUUGGACAAUGGGGGGAACCCUGAUCCAGCCAUGCCGCGUGUGUGAAGAAGGCCCUCGGGUUGUAAAGCACUUUCAGUGAGGAAGAACGCCUGGUGGUUAAUACCCAUCAGGAAAGACAUCACUCACAGAAGAAGCACCGGCUAACUCCGUGCCAGCAGCCGCGGUAAUACGGAGGGUGCGAGCGUUAAUCGGAAUUACUGGGCGUAAAGCGCGCGUAGGUGGCUUGAUAAGCCGGUUGUGAAAGCCCCGGGCUCAACCUGGGAACGGCAUCCGGAACUGUCAAGCUAGAGUGCAGGAGAGGAAGGUAGAAUUCCCGGUGUAGCGGUGAAAUGCGUAGAGAUCGGGAGGAAUACCAGUGGCGAAGGCGGCCUUCUGGACUGACACUGACACUGAGGUGCGACAGCGUGGGUAGCAAACAGGAUUAGAUACCCUAGUAGUC
Molecule: ribosomal RNA, 465 nt
Filed under: Vreelandella stevensii
Lineage: Bacteria; Pseudomonadati; Pseudomonadota; Gammaproteobacteria; Oceanospirillales; Halomonadaceae
Description: partial 16S ribosomal RNA
Rfam family: Bacterial small subunit ribosomal RNA
Source: RNAcentral